RNAcentral lists this ribosomal RNA (1261 nucleotides) under Bacillus pumilus. RNAcentral's name for it is "bacterial SSU rRNA". It matches the Rfam family "Bacterial small subunit ribosomal RNA", at positions 107 to 1355 of the family's 1533-position model. The record is from RNAcentral. Lineage: Bacteria; Bacillati; Bacillota; Bacilli; Caryophanales; Bacillaceae.
UGAGUAACACGUGGGUAACCUGCCUGUAAGACUGGGAUAACUCCGGGAAACCGGAGCUAAUACCGGAUAGUUCCUUGAACCGCAUGGUUCAAGGAUGAAAGACGGUUUCGGCUGUCACUUACAGAUGGACCCGCGGCGCAUUAGCUAGUUGGUGGGGUAAUGGCUCACCAAGGCGACGAUGCGUAGCCGACCUGAGAGGGUGAUCGGCCACACUGGGACUGAGACACGGCCCAGACUCCUACGGGAGGCAGCAGUAGGGAAUCUUCCGCAAUGGACGAAAGUCUGACGGAGCAACGCCGCGUGAGUGAUGAAGGUUUUCGGAUCGUAAAGCUCUGUUGUUAGGGAAGAACAAGUGCGAGAGUAACUGCUCGCACCUUGACGGUACCUAACCAGAAAGCCACGGCUAACUACGUGCCAGCAGCCGCGGUAAUACGUAGGUGGCAAGCGUUGUCCGGAAUUAUUGGGCGUAAAGGGCUCGCAGGCGGUUUCUUAAGUCUGAUGUGAAAGCCCCCGGCUCAACCGGGGAGGGUCAUUGGAAACUGGGAAACUUGAGUGCAGAAGAGGAGAGUGGAAUUCCACGUGUAGCGGUGAAAUGCGUAGAGAUGUGGAGGAACACCAGUGGCGAAGGCGACUCUCUGGUCUGUAACUGACGCUGAGGAGCGAAAGCGUGGGGAGCGAACAGGAUUAGAUACCCUGGUAGUCCACGCCGUAAACGAUGAGUGCUAAGUGUUAGGGGGUUUCCGCCCCUUAGUGCUGCAGCUAACGCAUUAAGCACUCCGCCUGGGGAGUACGGUCGCAAGACUGAAACUCAAAGGAAUUGACGGGGGCCCGCACAAGCGGUGGAGCAUGUGGUUUAAUUCGAAGCAACGCGAAGAACCUUACCAGGUCUUGACAUCCUCUGACAACCCUAGAGAUAGGGCUUUCCCUUCGGGGACAGAGUGACAGGUGGUGCAUGGUUGUCGUCAGCUCGUGUCGUGAGAUGUUGGGUUAAGUCCCGCAACGAGCGCAACCCUUGAUCUUAGUUGCCAGCAUUUAGUUGGGCACUCUAAGGUGACUGCCGGUGACAAACCGGAGGAAGGUGGGGAUGACGUCAAAUCAUCAUGCCCCUUAUGACCUGGGCUACACACGUGCUACAAUGGACAGAACAAAGGGCUGCGAGACCGCAAGGUUUAGCCAAUCCCAUAAAUCUGUUCUCAGUUCGGAUCGCAGUCUGCAACUCGACUGCGUGAAGCUGGAAUCGCUAGUAAUCGCGGAUCAGCAU